AUACCCUAUUAUUUUUAUUGUAAAAUUUGAAACUUGAGUAUUAGUAGUUAAGGUCUUGAAACUUAAAGAAUUUGGCGGUAUUAUAGUCUAUUUAGAGGAAUCUGUUAUGUAAUCGAUAGUCCACGUUGAACCUUACUUAUAUUAUUUCUUGUAUACCGCUGUUUGAGAAUAUACUUUUAGGUUAUUUUCUUAAUAUAUUAUUAAUUAAAAUUUCAGGUCAAGGUGCAGUAAUAUAUAAGUUGAAUAAUGGAUUACAAUAAAUUUUAUUUAUAUGGAUUGUUAUUGAAAUAUAAUUUGAAGGUGGAUUUAAUUGUAAUUUUUUAAAGAUUAUUAAAAUGAUUAAUAGCUCUAUAAUAUGUACACAUCGCCCGUCGCUCUCGUUAUUAAGAUGAGAUAAGUC
RNAcentral lists this ribosomal RNA (400 nucleotides) under Tenodera sinensis (Chinese praying mantis). RNAcentral's name for it is "partial 12S ribosomal RNA". Lineage: Eukaryota; Metazoa; Arthropoda; Insecta; Mantodea; Mantidae. The record is from RNAcentral.